AUUUACGAUGCAUAUGAUGUAAUUUAUGAUGGUCAUUCACAAGCAAAUACACCUCCUCUGUUCCCCUUAGGCUGAUGCCCUCAUGCCAGUCUGGACCUAAGGCACUACCAAGCUCUCCUGAUCCUGUGUUGAAGCUCAUACCCAAGAAAAGGCCAACUGUACUUAAAGUUGCACAAUGUAAGAUUUGGGGGUUUGCACGUCAUGUACUAUCACGCAAUGUGCAAAACAACACUGUACCUUCAGCUGUGCUUCCCUGACUGGAUACAUCUGAUGAUUGUGAGUGGUCUGAAAGAUAAUUACAAGAGAACUCAGUCAAAAUUUGGUGAAGGACUUGUCCUCCGAAGAUCGAAGUGUAUUAUCUACUAUUGUCAUCUUCAUCACUAUAAAGUUGUUUUGCAUUUGAGACCUAAACAUCAUGCUGGAUGUUCUUUGUGAGCCUGUGCAUGUGACAUUUACAUAAAGCUGUAUUAUCUGAUCUGAUGCCUCUGACCUUUGAAGUACUAUUUCAGGCUUUACAGACUCACAACGGCACAAAGGCACCAUAUUAUAGCAUGCUAUUUUUCCUACUGACUCGGUAAUGCUACUUCUUUCCAUUUUAACAACAAAAAAAAAUCUUACAUAGUGCCACUUUAAGCCAAAACAAACAAGUAAGAAGACAACAGCAGUUUAGAGAUCAGCCCUGAACUAGACCUUUAUUUACCAUCUUUAGAGGCUGUGGUGUAGCGUGUUCUCUUGCACGGCAGUGCUUUCUCUGGCUUGUCUGCCUCCAGUGAGGGGAUGAGAAACUGGGCAGCUCCUGCAUCAAAGAAUGUAUUCCCUAUGGCCUUGUCCUUUAUUGCCCAGAUCACUUCACAGCCCUCCACUUCAUACCUACAAACAAGGAAACAUAGCACAAGGAAUAGUGGAUACAAGUGCGAUCACAAAACCAGCCACAAGGGGGCAUCUGAUCAUGUAAGACUGCUGGGAUUCGUUCCAUUAAUAUGUACAGUAUAUCUGCAAAUCAUACUGUUUUAAAUGUACACUUCUUCAUAAACUAUAUUUAUGUGACAUUUUAACGCUGCAUUCUUUCACCACACAAAAGCAGUACUGAGCUCAUACCGAAAAAAUUCUAAAUACAUGUUUAAAAAGAAUAUGCAAAUACUGCAUAAUGAAACAGUAUAGGUGUAAAAAUGCAUUGAUGCAUCAUGGUGCAUUGAGCUGAAGGUGGAAAUUCUGCUUUGAUUUUGGAAUGUCAUUAACAAUUGAUUACAAUAACAUUCAAUACUAUCUGACCAUGCUAAAAUUCUGGAUUCAUUUUCAAAUACAAAGAAAAAAUAAAAGUACCAUUUA
This is a long non-coding RNA of Pygocentrus nattereri (red-bellied piranha), 1329 nucleotides long. RefSeq lists it as uncharacterized. The transcript has 2 exons. The record is from RefSeq and is a predicted model, not a curated record. NCBI's taxonomy places the organism in Eukaryota, Metazoa, Chordata, Actinopteri, Characiformes, Serrasalmidae.